CUAAGACGUUGAUAGGCAGGGUGUGGACGCGUUGUAAGGCGUUAAGCUAACCUGUACUAAUUGCCCGAGAGGCUUAACCAUACAACGCCUAA
RNAcentral lists this ribosomal RNA (92 nucleotides) under Paralteromonas sediminis. RNAcentral describes it as "Alteromonas sp. U0105 partial 23S ribosomal RNA". The record is from RNAcentral. Lineage: Bacteria; Pseudomonadati; Pseudomonadota; Gammaproteobacteria; Alteromonadales; Alteromonadaceae.